CUGCGGAGGGAUCAUUACGGGGUUAUCCAGCUCCCAAACCCAUGUGAACAUAUCUCUUUGUUGCCUCGGCGCAAGCUACCCGGGACCUCGCGCCCCGGGCGGCCCGCCGGCGGACAAACCAAACUCUGUUAUCUUCGUUGAUUAUCUGAGUGUCUUAUUUAAUAAGUCAAAACUUUCAACAACGGAUCUCUUGGUUCUGGCAUCGAUGAAGAACGCAGCGAAAUGCGAUAAGUAAUGUGAAUUGCAGAAUUCAGUGAAUCAUCGAAUCUUUGAACGCACAUUGCGCCCAUUAGUAUUCUAGUGGGCAUGCCUGUUCGAGCGUCAUUUCAACCCCUAAGCACAGCUUAUUGUUGGGCGUCUACGUCUGUAGUGCCUCAAAGACAUUGGCGGAGCGGCAGCAGUCCUCUGAGCGUAGUAAUUCUUUAUCUCGCUUCUGUUAGGCGCUGCCCCCCCGGCCGUAAAACCCCCAAUUUUUUCUGGUUGACCUCGGAUCAGGUAGGAAUACCCGCUGAACUUAAGCAUAUCAA
RNAcentral lists this ribosomal RNA (527 nucleotides) under Nigrospora oryzae. RNAcentral's name for it is "eukaryotic LSU rRNA". The stretch from base 171 to 324 matches the Rfam family "5.8S ribosomal RNA". The record is from RNAcentral. Lineage: Eukaryota; Fungi; Ascomycota; Sordariomycetes; Amphisphaeriales; Apiosporaceae.